UGUAAAGUAAAUAUACUGACAAGUCUUACUUUAAAUUAUAGCUUUGCUACUGCUCUAAACAGUUUUAAGAUAUGAACUUGAACUGGCUUUUGCUAAAAGAAUGAGAGCACACAUAUGCAUAAAAGCAAGAGCAGAGGAAAAAAUCUGAGUCAACUUGUUACUAAACUUUCCAUACCGAACUUCCAACUAUAAUCUCAGGGAUACCUGAAAUAGCUGAGUUUCUUAUUGUGAGAGCACAGGUAUGUUAGGGUAGGAACUGUUAAACAUACCUAGUGAGACAUCUAUAAUACAUAUUUUUUAUACCAAGUUCAGUAUUCCCAAAUUCUUUUCAUUAACUUACUCCUGCCCAAAUGCAUUCCAUAACAUUUUUAUCAGUAAUCACAGGAAAGAACCACACAGAUUAUGACAUCUGGCACAUGAUUUCUCUAUCUAGGUUUUAAAUGAACAAUGGUAACAUUUAUUCUACAAAACAUGAUGAAGAGGCUCCUUUCCUCUUACCUUUCCUAGAAUCUGUAGUACAGUCUUUCAUAUUUCUUAUUCUCUCCCGAAAUUUCUAUUGCAGCUCAGUUACCAACAUCGCUUUAUAAAGUGAUGUAAUGACUGGCACAAUGACCACCAUAUUCACUGAUUUCUGCCUGCAACUUAUCUCCUACCAUGGUAACGCCUGGACAGCUACUAUACAUAUAUAUAUUUUUAAAAUAGCAAGCUUCUAAAGAGUAGUACCCAUUCAUUAACUGCAAACAGGUAUUUACUAAACUCCUAUUAUGUGCCAGCCUUAGUACUAGAAAACAGGGAGACAACAGUGAAUAAGACAUACAUGUUCUAUAUCUUCAUUGAUCUUAUAACUGAUUAGGGAUGGAGGAGAAAGAGAAGGGGGAGGUGAAGAGACACUUACUUUAGAUAGCAUGAUCAGAGUAUCUCUUUGAGGAGAUGACAGACUGAAAGUGAAAGAUGAGUCAGCUAUGCCAAAAAUAUUGUAGGCAAAAGAAAAUACAAGUACUGAAUGCCUGAGAUGGGCAAGAAUUAGGCAGAUUUGAUGACACAAGAGGCCUGGCAUGGCUAGAGCACAGGGAUUAGGUCAGGCAGACCAGACAAGCACAUGUAGGAAGCUCACUAGCACCAUACAACUCCCCAGCAAUGUAGUUUGUUGUGAAUGAGACCUCACAACUGCAAUGUGAAUGAUAUCCUGGAGUUGUGCAUGUUUAUGACACAUUUUGCUUAAAUUUUAAAAUGAUCAUUCUGCUGCUAUGCAAAUAGACUGGAGAGGAGAAACCAGGAGGUUAGUUAAAAGUCUACUGUGGGGUGUUGGCGAGGAUGUGGAAAAAUGAAAACACUCAUACACUGGGAGGGAAGGUAAAGUGAUACAGCUGCUGUGGAAAACAGUUUGGUGGUUCCUCAAAAAGCUAAACCAAAUUACCAUAUAACCCAGCAAUUCCACUCUUAUGAAUAUACCCUAUGAAUAUGUUUAUACCCUAGGGAAUUAAAAAUAUAUACUCACACAAAAACUCAUACAUGUAUGUUAAUAGCUACAUUAUUCUUAAUAGCCAAAAACUAAAAACAAUCUAAAAUUCCAUCAAAUGAUGAAUAGAUAAAUAAAAUAUUAUAUAUCCAUACAGUAGAAUGUUAUUUGGCCUUAAACAUGAAUAAAGUUCUGAUAUACCCCACAACAUGGAUGAACCUUGAAAACAUUUGCUAAGGGAAAGAAGGUAGACACAAAAGGCUGCUUAUUGUAGGACUCUUUUCUUUUUUUUGAGACAGAGUUUCACUCAUCAUCCAGGCUGGUGCAGUGGGGCGACCUCCACCUCCCGGGUUCAAGCAAUUCUUGUGCCUCAGCCUCUCGAGUAGCUGGGACUACAGGCAUGCGCCACCACACCUGGCUGGAUUUUUUGUAUUUUCAAUAGAGACAGGGUUUUGCCAGAACUCCUGACCUCAAGAGAUCCUCCCACCUCGGCUUCCCAAAGUGUUGGGAUUACAGCCAUGAGCCACUGUUCCUGGCCAGGACUCCAUUUUAUAAAAUAUCCAGAAUAGGCAAAUCUGUAGAGAUAGAAAGUGACUAGAGGCUGCCAGGGGUUAGGGGAAUAGGAAUGACAGCUUAAUGGGUUUGGGUUCCCGUUCAGGGUGAUGAGAAUGUUCUAGAGCUAGUAAUGGUUGUAAAACAUUGUGAAUAUACUAAAAAUGACUAAAGUGUACAUCUGAAAAGGGUUUAAAUGGUCAAUUUUUUCUCUAUAUUAAAAACUGCACCUCCAGCAAAUAAUCUAUCGUGAUAUUACAGAGAGAAAUUGUGGUGACUUGAACUAGGAUGGUGGCAGAGCAUAGAGAAAAGUGAGCAGAAAUGAGAGAGAUUCUGGAGGCAGAGCAGGCAAUCUUUAUUUGAUAGGAGGCAUCAGAGAGGAAUGGAGGGUGACUCCCAGUCUUCUGGCAGCUGGUUACUACAUUUACAGAGAAGGGAAAGACUGAGAAGGAAACAGGUUGGGAAUAUUGAGAAUGAAUAAAAAUAAAUCCAACUAAAAUAUGGAUUCUAUCAGUAACCUCAAGAAAAUCAGGAAGUUUUGGCUCUUUCUCAAAUAAUGGAAGGAGCAUAGAACUAAGGUGUAUGUGAGUAAAUUUAUCUUUUAAUCCCAGCCUGGCACUACCUAGAUAACCUUGGUCCAGUAACAUGGUCUGAUGACUUCACCUGCUGAGGAAUCAAGUGCUUCUUUCAUAUUUAUUUUGUUGUGUUGUAAUUUUUUAAAUCACUUUUAACUUCAAAACAUUUCUUCUUCUCUGGAUACAAUGUAUUUGCUUCUGUUUUACCCUAAUUUCUAAAUAGUUGAUUUAAAUUCACUCCGACUUAAGUAUUAGAAUUGGGCAAGACUGAGGAAAAGAGAGGCAGACAACGGUCAAAGUGCAAUGACUUAAAAACAUACUACAAGUCUGGAAUCUGUCCUAAGGACAGUGGGAAACCAGCUAAAGAUUUUAAGCAAAGGAGUAAUAUGAGCAUCUAAUUUGCAUUUAGCAAGAUCAUUACAAUUUUGAAAGAGGAAAAGGUCAAAAAACAGGAAGUGAGGAAGCUGUGAAAGUAAUGAGGAAGAGAAAUAAGGUCCUAGACUAAGGCAGUAAGUCACAGGAGUAAGACAAAAUCGCCCCACGAGUACAUGUGUGAGAAGACAGACCCUGAGGAACACGGACAGAGAUGAGCACAAGAGGGGGUUCACUGUGGAGAAUGAGAGGAAACCCAGAAGAGCUAUAGUUUCACAGGCUCCUAGGAAAGGAUCUCAGGAAGAAGGCCUUAUCAACAUAUUACAUGCUGAAGAGUCUAAAAUACUCAGUGACAUAGUGACAUCAAAGUCUUCUGUGACUUUGGAGGGAGGUCUUACUACAUAUAAUGGGUGGAACACCACAAACUGUUGACAAUCACUGGGAAAUCAGUGGGAAAUGAGGAAACAGUGACAUCAAAAUUCUAUCGAGAAGUUUGAUUAUGAAACAAAUAGAAAAAUUUAGCAGAAGACAAAAGGAGAUGGAUACUAAAGGCAUGAGAUUAAAAGGAACACCAAUUUACACUUUAAAUAACUUCAUAUGGAAAGCAAAGAAAUGGGACCUCUUUUUCCUCAUUUACGUAAAAAUACAGAAGACAAAAACUAUAAUAAAAUAUUUGUCUAGGUCUCAGUUGCUAGGGCAAACUGAGAACAUUUUCUUGGCUAUUAUAAAUGCUGCUUUGGACAAAUGGACAUUAUAGACCAGCUCAUUGGUAAUGUUAAAGCACCAUCAGGGAUGUAUUUCUUUUGUAUGCUCAAUAAAGGCAGCCUGGGAAAAGGUGAAGACAUGAAUUAUGUAAGCAAAAGCUUUCAUGCAGUAAAUUUAAAAGUAUUAUAUAACUAUAUACUUAAUACAUCAAAUUGUAACCUUGUAUGCUGAAAAAGGUUCUUAGCUAAAUGCUUUAAAUACAGGUGUGCCCAAUGUGUUUGUAAAAGCAAUAAAGAAAAAUAUGACCUUCUAAAACAGACAAAUUAAAGGACUAUUAUGAAUAUA
Molecule: long non-coding RNA, 4008 nt
Filed under: Homo sapiens (human)
Lineage: Eukaryota; Metazoa; Chordata; Mammalia; Primates; Hominidae
Description: HSALNT0349244
Source: RNAcentral